AUUGAACGCUGGCGGCAUGCCUUACACAUGCAAGUCGAACGGCAGCAUGGAGAGCUUUCUUUCUGAUGGCGAGUGGCGAACGGGUGAGUAAUGCAUCUGAACGUACCGUGUAAUGGGGGAUAACGUAGCGACAGUUACGCUAAUACCGCCUACGACCUGAGGGUGAAGGCAGGGGAUCGCAAGACCUUGCGUUAUACGAGCGGCCGAUGUCAGAUUAGCUAGUUGGGGAGGUAAAGGCUCACCAUGGCGACGAUCUGUAGCGGGUCUGAGAGGAUGAUCCGCCACACUGGGACUGGGACACGGCCCAGACUCCUACGGGAGGCAGCAGUGGGGAAUUUUGGACAAUGGGGGCAACCCUGAUCCAGCCAUGCCGCGUGAGUGAAGAGGGCCUUCGGGUUGUAAAGCUCUUUCGGCCGGGAAGAAAUCGCACAGGCUAAUACUCUGUGUGGAUGACGGUACCGGCAUAAGAAGCACCGGCUAACUACGUGCCAGCCGCCGCCGUAA
This 504-nucleotide ribosomal RNA is filed under the name uncultured bacterium. RNAcentral describes it as "partial 16S ribosomal RNA". It matches the Rfam family "Bacterial small subunit ribosomal RNA", at positions 30 to 523 of the family's 1533-position model. The record is from RNAcentral.